UACGGAGGAUGCAAGCGUUAUCCGGAAUGAUUGGGCGUAAAGCGUCCGUAGGUGGUUUUGUAAGUCCGUGGUUAAAGCGUGGAGCUUAACUCCAUAAAGGCCAUGGAAACUACAAGACUAGAGUGAAGUAGGGGUAGAGGGAAUUCCCAGUGUAGCGGUGAAAUGCGUAGAGAUUGGGAAGAACACCGGUGGCGAAAGCGCUCUACUGGACUUAUACUGACACUGAGGGACGAAAGCUAGGGGAGCGAAAGGG
Molecule: ribosomal RNA, 253 nt
Filed under: uncultured bacterium
Lineage: Bacteria
Description: partial 16S ribosomal RNA
Rfam family: Bacterial small subunit ribosomal RNA
Source: RNAcentral